CCCUGGAUUAGGGAGGGACGGCGUUUAUUACCCCGGAUUAGCGAGGGACGGCGUUUAUUACCCCGGAUUAGCGAGGGACGGCGUUUAUUACCCCGGAUUAGGGAGGGACGGCGUUUAUUACCCCGGAUUAGCGAGGACGGCGUUUAUUACCCCGGAUUAGCGAGGAUGGCGUUUAUUACCCCGGAUUAGCGAGGGACGGUGUUUAUUACCCAGGAUUAGCGAGGGACGGCGUUUAUUACCCAGGAUUAGCGAGGGACGGCGUUUAUUACCCAGGAUUAGCGAGGGACGGCGUUUAUUACCCAGGAUUAGCGAGGGACGGCGUUUAUUACCCAGGAUUAGCGAG
Molecule: non-coding RNA, 343 nt
Organism: Pelobates cultripes (western spadefoot toad)
Lineage: Eukaryota; Metazoa; Chordata; Amphibia; Anura; Pelobatidae
Source: the annotation of a GenBank genome assembly